This 779-nucleotide ribosomal RNA is filed under the name Vibrio cyclitrophicus. Its description in RNAcentral is "bacterial LSU rRNA". It matches the Rfam family "Bacterial large subunit ribosomal RNA", at positions 1 to 828 of the family's 2925-position model. The record is from RNAcentral. Lineage: Bacteria; Pseudomonadati; Pseudomonadota; Gammaproteobacteria; Vibrionales; Vibrionaceae.
GUUGUAUGGUUAAGUGACUAAGCGUACACGGUGGAUGCCUUGGCAGUCAGAGGCGAUGAAAGGCGUAAUAACUUGCGAUAAGCCCAGAUUAGGUAGUAAUAACCUUUUGAGUCUGGGAUUCCUGAAUGGGGAAACCCACKURCAUAAGYAMGUAUCCUGUUGUGAAUACAUAGCAACAGGAGGCAAACCGGGGGAACUGAAACAUCUAAGUACCCCGAGGAAGAGAAAUCAACCGAGAUUCCGAAAGUAGCGGCGAGCGAAAUUGGAUUAGCCCUUAAGCUUUUAAUGAGACAGACGAAGGCUCUGGAAAGUGCCGCAGUAAAGGGUGAUAGCCCCGUAGUCGACAUCUCAUAAUCAGUGAAAACGAGUAGGGCGGGACACGUGAYAUCCUGUCUGAAUAUGGGGGGACCAUCCUCCAAGGCUAAAUACUACUGACUGACCGAUAGUGAACCAGUACCGUGAGGGAAAGGCGAAAAGAACCCCUGUGAGGGGAGUGAAAUAGAACCUGAAACCGUGUACGUACAAGCAGUAGGAGCACCUUCGUGGUGUGACUGCGUACCUUUUGUAUAAUGGGUCAGCGACUUAAUUUUAGUAGCAAGGUUAACCGUUUAGGGGAGCCGUAGGGAAACCGAGUCUUAACUGGGCGUACAGUUGCUAGGAUUAGACCCGAAACCAGGUGAUCUAGCCAUGGGCAGGUUGAAGGUUGAGUAACAUCAACUGGAGGACCGAACCGACUAAUGUUGAAAAAUUAGCGGAUGACUUGUGGCUAGGGGUGAAAG